Molecule: long non-coding RNA, 439 nt
Organism: Mus musculus (house mouse)
Lineage: Eukaryota; Metazoa; Chordata; Mammalia; Rodentia; Muridae
Product: predicted gene, 46252
Exons: 3
Source: RefSeq, a predicted model, not a curated record
CUGAGUCAAGGCCAGCCUGGUCUACAGAGCAAGUUCCAGGACAGCCAGGGCUACACAGACAAACCCUGUUUUAAGAGAUAAAAGAGCAGCAGAGGGAGUAUGAAUCUUGAGCUGAAAGAGGUAUCACAUCCUAAAGCCACAGAUAACAGAGGAGGUGACUUUCAAAUUCAAGGCCAACUCAAGCAUUUUCAAUUGGACCAUGCCGCCACACCAACAGACAACACGGCCCAAUGACUGGGACUGAAACCAACGCAGAGGGAUGUGUCACUUACUUGCCUUCCAUCCUGCCCCACAUUUGUCUGACCUCUUACGACAGUCCGGAUAUUGUCAUCCAGUCUCCUGGCCAAAAGAAUAAAAAUCAGAGGUUGUUUUGAAGUGCUCGUGCCUGGUUUCUGCUAGGCCAGCAUUCUAUCACCGAGCAACACCCCAUGCUCUCUGU